GAUGAACGCUGACAGAAUGCUUAACACAUGCAAGUCAACUGUGGCGGACGGGUGAGUAACGCGUAAAGAACUUGCCUCACAGUUAGGGACAACAUUUGGAAACGAAUGCUAAUACCUGAUACUGUGAGAGAGCUUUGCGUCCCAUUAGCUAGUUGGAGAGGUAACGGCUCACCAAGGCGAGGAUGGGUAGCCGGCCUGGGAGGGUGAUCGGCCACAAGGGGACUGAGACACGGCCAUUACGCCUACGGGAGGCAGCAGUGGGGAAUAUUGGACAAUGGGCCAAAGUCUGAUGCAGCAAUUCUGGGUGCAAGAUGAAGUUUUCGGAAUGUAAAGUGCUGUUAGUUGGGAAGCGGUACCAACAGAAGAAGCGACGGCUAACUACGUGCCAGCAGCCGCGGUAAUAC
Molecule: ribosomal RNA, 404 nt
Filed under: uncultured bacterium
Lineage: Bacteria
Description: partial 16S ribosomal RNA
Rfam family: Bacterial small subunit ribosomal RNA
Source: RNAcentral